This 426-nucleotide long non-coding RNA is filed under the name Citrus sinensis (sweet orange). RNAcentral's name for it is "long non-coding RNA (CSIN_LNC000556)". Lineage: Eukaryota; Viridiplantae; Streptophyta; Magnoliopsida; Sapindales; Rutaceae. The record is from RNAcentral.
GGAAAUAGAGCAAGACCCACAAAAGAUAUGCUGGCGAAUUUGUAAGAAAAAUGUAGAAAUAUACUAUGCGGCCCCUGAUGAUGGAUGGAGUGUCCAUGUGCAGGAGCAGCAUACGAUUAUGCUGAGAAGUGAAGAAGGGAUCGGUAUUGGAUGCAACAAACAAGUUUUCUGAAAAUGCCAUUUUGCCAGCAUGCUGCUGUGUGUAUGCGUGGCCUGGGAAAAAAAGUUUCAAUAGUGGAGAUAAGCAAAAUGUAACGAUCGAUUCCCCACUACUUAAAGUUCUCUUUUCUUAUCUAGGAAAAAAACAUAAACCAGAUCAUCCUUGAAAUGGGUAUAAAGCAUACUCAUUGAAGCAAGAUUAUAAAAUAAACCAUCCGUGACAAGCAGAACAAUAAGGUUAAAUCGUCGUGUGCUAAUAAGACAACU